UGGGGAAUCUUAGACAAUGGGCGAAAGCCUGAUCUAGCCAUGCCGCGUGAGUGACGAAGGUCUUAGGAUCGUAAAGCUCUUUCGCCAGAGAUGAUAAUGACAGUAUCUGGUAAAGAAACCCCGGCUAACUCCGUG
RNAcentral lists this ribosomal RNA (135 nucleotides) under uncultured marine bacterium. Its description in RNAcentral is "partial 16S ribosomal RNA". It matches the Rfam family "Bacterial small subunit ribosomal RNA", at positions 355 to 507 of the family's 1533-position model. The record is from RNAcentral.